GAUGAACGCUGGCGGCGUGCCUAAUACAUGCAAGUCGAGCGAACAGACGAGGAGCUUGCUCCUCUGACGUUAGCGGCGGACGGGUGAGUAACACGUGGAUAACCUACCUAUAAGACUGGGAUAACUUCGGGAAACCGGAGCUAAUACCGGAUAAUAUAUUGAACCGCAUGGUUCAAUAGUGAAAGACGGUUUUGCUGUCACUUAUAGCUGGAUCCGCGCCGCAUUAGCUAGUUGGUAAGGUAACGGCUUACCAAGGCGACGAUGCGUAGCCGACCUGAGAGGGUGAUCGGCCACACUGGAACUGAGACACGGGCCAGACUCCUACGGGAGGCAGCAGUAGGGAAUCUUCCGCAAUGGGCGAAAGCCUGACGGAGCAACGCCGCGUGAGUGAUGAAGGUCUUCGGAUCGUAAAACUCUGUUAUUAGGGAAGAACAAAUGUGUAAGUAACUAUGCACGUCUUGACGGUACCUAAUCAGAAAGCCACGGCUAACUACGUG
RNAcentral lists this ribosomal RNA (497 nucleotides) under uncultured bacterium. RNAcentral's name for it is "partial 16S ribosomal RNA". It matches the Rfam family "Bacterial small subunit ribosomal RNA", at positions 28 to 507 of the family's 1533-position model. The record is from RNAcentral.